GCCUUCGCGGUGUAGUGGUCAGCACGCUCGACGCGUAAUCGAGAGGUCCGUGGUUCAAUUCCCGGCGAAGGCG
Molecule: transfer RNA, 73 nt
Filed under: Stegodyphus mimosarum
Lineage: Eukaryota; Metazoa; Arthropoda; Arachnida; Araneae; Eresidae
Rfam family: tRNA
About the family: Transfer RNA (tRNA) molecules are approximately 80 nucleotides in length. Their secondary structure includes four short double-helical elements and three loops (D, anti-codon, and T loops).
Source: Rfam by way of RNAcentral